RNAcentral lists this unclassified non-coding RNA (386 nucleotides) under soil metagenome. Its description in RNAcentral is "partial contains 5.8S ribosomal RNA, internal transcribed spacer 2, and large subunit ribosomal RNA". The stretch from base 1 to 120 matches the Rfam family "5.8S ribosomal RNA", at positions 35 to 154 of the family's 154-position model. The record is from RNAcentral.
GAUGAAGAACGCAGCGAAAUGCGAUAAGUAAUGUGAAUUGCAGAAUUCAGUGAAUCAUCGAAUCUUUGAACGCACCUUGCACCCUUUGGCAUUCCGAAGGGUAUGCUCGUUUGAGUGUCAUUGUACUCUCACACUCUCCGAUCCUAUGGAUUCGGGGAGCGGUGGACUUGGGUGUUGCUGCCUUUCCUUGUGGCUCACCUCAAAUGUGUCAGUGCACCUCUUGGUUGGACAUAGUACGGCGUGAUAAGUGUCUUCGCCGGCACCUCGCAAGAGGGUGGCCGAUCGGGAGCUCUGUGCUUUCAAACCGUCUUCGGACAAUUUCUGACAACUUGACCUCAAAUCGAGUAGGACUACCCGCUGAACUUAAGCAUAUCAAUAACGGAGGA